GGGGGCGACACGGCUUCGACGGGUUUGGUGAAUUCGGGGCUGCGUGCCGAGGUCCGGGGGCCUCGAUAAACAUCCCGGAAAACGUUCAAAUGCCAACAACGAUCUGGCUCUGGCAGCUUAAGACAUAAGCUGCCCGUUCCCCUGCAAGCCCGCCCGAGGCGAGCCGUGGGAACGUCGACAAUUCGGGCUGGUGCUCACAUCCACGCCACUGGACGAGAGCACGAGACACAAGGUGGCUAGCCCGGCAAGGGUCGUUCGCCGACCCGGCCGGUAGCGAAUCGAACGGCGAUCUACGCACGUAGAGGCCUGGAAGAAUCCAUUCGCGGACGCGGGUUCGACUCCCGCCGCCUCCAUUU
This 356-nucleotide transfer-messenger RNA is filed under the name Longimicrobiales. Its description in RNAcentral is "Bin94 sp002238865 Standard tmRNA". It matches the Rfam family "transfer-messenger RNA". From Rfam's summary of the family: Bacterial tmRNA, also known as 10Sa RNA or SsrA, is named for its dual tRNA and mRNA-like properties. Its role is to liberate the mRNA from a stalled ribosome. The record is from RNAcentral. RNAcentral also lists the same sequence under 1 other name. Lineage: Bacteria; Pseudomonadati; Gemmatimonadota; Longimicrobiia.